RNAcentral lists this ribosomal RNA (484 nucleotides) under uncultured bacterium. Its description in RNAcentral is "bacterial SSU rRNA". It matches the Rfam family "Bacterial small subunit ribosomal RNA", at positions 22 to 507 of the family's 1533-position model. The record is from RNAcentral.
CGUCAGGAUGAACGGCUGGCGGCGUGCCUAACACAUGCAAGUCGAACGGAGCUGCUUUGAUGAAGUUUCGGAUGGAUUUAAAACAGCUUAGUGGCGGACGGGUGAGUAACGCGUGGGUAACCUGCCUCACACUGGGGGAUAACAGUUAGAAAUAGCUGCUAAUACCGCAUAAGCGCACGGUACCGCAUGGUACAGUGUGAAAAACUCCGGUGGUGUGAGAUGGAUCCGCGUCUGAUUAGGUAGUUGGUGAGGUAACGGCCCACCAAGCCGACGAUCAGUAGCCGACCUGAGAGGGUGACCGGCCACAUUGGGACUGAGACACGGCCCAAACUCCUACGGGAGGCAGCAGUGGGGAAUAUUGCACAAUGGGCGAAAGCCUGAUGCAGCAACGCCGCGUGAGUGAAGAAGUAUCUCGGUAUGUAAAGCUCUAUCAGCAGGGAAGAAAAUGACGGUACCUGACUAAGAAGCCCCGGCUAACUACGUG